CUAACCUGGCAACUUGCUUUCUGUACCUUGCACUGGGCUUCAAGUUUUAUUUUAAUGUUGUGCUGGUAAAUAUUUUUAAUGUAAAAUGUCUAGCCCGUUCAAAAAUGGGUUUAUUUCAAACCAUUUGUCUUUUGCUUUGUAGGAAAAACAUCAGAUAGGGGUCCGUUUCCACUAUAUGGCAGAGACCCAGGACUACCAGGUUGUCAAUCCGGUCUCCUUCGUUCAGAUAUGGGGCUUGGAAGCCCUGGUCAGGUGUCAUCCUCAGGAAAACCUGGAACACCAUAUUACCCAUUUUCUUCUGCAAAUCCACGCCGAAGACCACUUCAUGACUCAUCAGCUGUUGAUCCUUUACAGACAAAGAAAGUAAGAAAGGUGCCCCCUGGUUUGCCUUCUUCUGUAA
Molecule: long non-coding RNA, 400 nt
Filed under: Chelydra serpentina (North American snapping turtle)
Lineage: Eukaryota; Metazoa; Chordata; Testudines; Chelydridae
Description: lncRNA (ENSCSRG00000007031.1)
Source: RNAcentral